UACGGAGGGUGCAAGCAUUAAUCGGAUUUAUUGGGCGUAAAGGGUGCGUAGGCGGGAAUGUAAGUCAGAUGUGAAAUCCCGGGGCUCAACCCCGGAACUGCAUUUGAAACUGCAUUUCUUGAGGAUGGACGGAGAAAACGGAAUUCCACGUGUAGCGGUGAAAUGCGUAGAUAUGUGGAGGAACACCUGUGGCGUAGGCGGUUUUCUAGUUUAUUCCUGACGCUGAGGCACGAAAGCAAGGGGAUCAAACAGG
RNAcentral lists this ribosomal RNA (253 nucleotides) under uncultured bacterium. Its description in RNAcentral is "partial 16S ribosomal RNA". It matches the Rfam family "Bacterial small subunit ribosomal RNA", at positions 524 to 776 of the family's 1533-position model. The record is from RNAcentral.